Molecule: ribosomal RNA, 253 nt
Filed under: uncultured bacterium
Lineage: Bacteria
Description: partial 16S ribosomal RNA
Rfam family: Bacterial small subunit ribosomal RNA
Source: RNAcentral
UACGUAGGGCGCAAGCGUUGUCCGGAAUUAUUGGGCGUAAAGAGCUCGUAGGCGGCUUGUCACGUCGGGUGUGAAAGCCCGGGGCUUAACCCCGGGUCUGCAUUCGAUACGGGCUAGCUAGAGUGUGGUAGGGGAGAUCGGAAUUCCUGGUGUAGCGGUGAAAUGCGCAGAUAUCAGGAAGAACACCAGUGGCGAAGGCGGCCGGCUGGGGGCGCCCUGACGCUGAGGCGCGAGAGCGUGGGGAGCAAACCGG